RNAcentral lists this ribosomal RNA (591 nucleotides) under Klebsiella pneumoniae. RNAcentral's name for it is "bacterial SSU rRNA". It matches the Rfam family "Bacterial small subunit ribosomal RNA", at positions 76 to 661 of the family's 1533-position model. The record is from RNAcentral. Lineage: Bacteria; Pseudomonadati; Pseudomonadota; Gammaproteobacteria; Enterobacterales; Enterobacteriaceae.
GAGCUUGCUCUCGGGUGACGAGCGGCGGACGGGUGAGUAAUGUCUGGGAAACUGCCUGAUGGAGGGGGAUAACUACUGGAAACGGUAGCUAAUACCGCAUAAUGUCGCAAGACCAAAGUGGGGGACCUUCGGGCCUCAUGCCAUCAGAUGUGCCCAGAUGGGAUUAGCUAGUAGGUGGGGUAACGGCUCACCUAGGCGACGAUCCCUAGCUGGUCUGAGAGGAUGACCAGCCACACUGGAACUGAGACACGGUCCAGACUCCUACGGGAGGCAGCAGUGGGGAAUAUUGCACAAUGGGCGCAAGCCUGAUGCAGCCAUGCCGCGUGUGUGAAGAAGGCCUUCGGGUUGUAAAGCACUUUCAGCGGGGAGGAAGGCGUUAAGGUUAAUAACCUUGUCGAUUGACGUUACCCGCAGAAGAAGCACCGGCUAACUCCGUGCCAGCAGCCGCGGUAAUACGGAGGGUGCAAGCGUUAAUCGGAAUUACUGGGCGUAAAGCGCACGCAGGCGGUCUGUCAAGUCGGAUGUGAAAUCCCCGGGCUCAACCUGGGAACUGCAUUCGAAACUGGCAGGCUAGAGUCUUGUAGAGGGGGG